RNAcentral lists this long non-coding RNA (1130 nucleotides) under Homo sapiens (human). Its description in RNAcentral is "HSALNT0140323". Lineage: Eukaryota; Metazoa; Chordata; Mammalia; Primates; Hominidae. The record is from RNAcentral.
UAUAGUUCACUCUGUGGGUUGCUCUGUGAAUGUAUGGGAAUGGUGAGAUCUCACCCAUGCAAUCAAUGGCAAUUACUGAUCAUCUUGUCCUCAUGCCUCCUCGACUUAGACUCUUUCUACUGGGCUCCAGUAUUUACAUUGCUGCCAGGAGCUCUUCCAUCGCGGUGCUGCUUUGCCAAUUUAUCUUCCUGAGUCUGCAGUUCAUGGCCUGUAACCUUCUUCUGGUGACUGGAAUUACACAAGAAAAUCAGGAACAUUCAUUUUUUACCUUUGUUGGAACCGACUGGGGUAGUGGUGGAAAGCCUCCAGUGUAGUCCUUCGACAAGCUGAGAUUGAAUCACUGACUGACUGCGAAAGAGCCCCCUUCUCCCCUCCUCUCCUGGGCCCUGAUUGCAGGUUUGACUCCUGGCACUGACUUUGAUACUUGGAAUUUUGAGGUUCAGGGACUUCAGAGAAUUUGGCAGCACAGCGUAUUGGGAGAAACGGAAAUUUCAGGAGAUGGAUUGAUCACCCUGGUUGACAUGUUUCUGGAAGUGGGUGAGUGGGUUUGAUUGAGAACAUUUUGGGCUCUUGCACUGAUGGUGGGAAAGAAAAAUUCAUGGCGGCACUUCUCAUAAUAAUUCUCUCCCCUGAAAAGAAAGAUUAUGAUAAAGAAUAAUUUGGAAUAAUAAGUAACAAGAUAGAAUUAGAAAAAUGUUGACUUUCCAGAUGACCAGUCAGAAGUGUGGCUUUUUUCACAUCUUUUUCUCCUGCAAUGAUCUGCUCCCAAGUGCUGCACUGCAAUACCAGUCUAACUAACACUUUGUGAAACAAAUUGUUAAGUGUGUAUGUAUGCAUAUCAAGCUAUGCUCUGAGGAUAAAGCAAGUUCUAAUUUGUGGAAAAAGGAUUAAGUAUUUCUGUUUUCUGAAAAAGAAAAAUGUAGAGUAUCUUCCUAUUGCUUCAAACCCUAUACUUCAAUAUCCAAUGUUCGAUAUCUCCAUUAGCCCCAUUGUAUCUUUCACAAUUCAUCCCUCACUGCUUUCUCAUGGGGCCUUCUAUUCUAGCAAGGAAACAUUUUCUUCUCCCCUCCCCCCUGUCAUUUCUCCUUCUUUGGUAAUGUUUUUCCAUUUCUUCCCCUCCAAUCCAAAGC